RNAcentral lists this long non-coding RNA (1291 nucleotides) under Gallus gallus (chicken). RNAcentral's name for it is "lncRNA (ENSGALG00010028955.1)". Lineage: Eukaryota; Metazoa; Chordata; Aves; Galliformes; Phasianidae. The record is from RNAcentral.
GCACAGCUGCAGGACGGAGCAUGAGACCCAGCACGUGCAACAGCUGCAAGAAAUCCUGCCUGCCUGUCUGCAUAGAAAAGCACACAAUCAGCCCGAAAGGAACACGUUGGCCAUAGACGACACCUGGAAAAACUGCACAGCGGAUGCGUGGUGGAGACUGUGAGCCUGCAGUGCCCAGCCAAGGGGGAACAGGAGAGCAGUGGGUGCCAUGGGAGGAGAGCUACAGGAGCAGAAGGAGCUCACAGAGGCAGAGUGCAGUAACGCCACAGCAAUCAGGAAUGAGCUUUGCUGCUGCACUGAGAGCUGUGCCUGGUGGAACAUCAGGGAUGUGAGCGUUUCUCGCACACCCCACUGGCACUUGGGUGGAUGUGCUGGGAUGUAGGGAAGCCUCACAGGGUUGUGGGGCAGCUAAAGGACGCCUAUGGGAGGGCUUCAGGAGAACUUUGAGGCAGCUUUGGAGCAGAGCCACACCUGGAAGCUGCCUUUACCCAACACACUGCUACUGGUGGAACUGCUGCUGGCCACGGGCUGUGGGCAGUGAUGGGGCUACUCGGGGCUGCUCUACGAUGGCUCUGGGGCUGCCAUGGGCAGCUAUGGGAUACACUCAUGGAACUUCUUCCAUAGUUCCCAACUAACCCCUUGACCUCCAUCUUGCCCCCCAAGAUGAGGGCAAGAUGAGCGUCAGGGGAAUAUACAGGCUGCUGAAAUACAGCGGCCCCAGAGCCACCUUAUAUUACCCCCUGAACAAUGCAGGAACAGACCUAUCCCUGCCCACAGCCUCAUAUGGGGUUAUGGUGCUCACAGGGUUAUGGGACAUGUGCAGCCUUGUGGUCACGUGGACUUUCUGGGGUUCUGGGCUCAUGUGGGGUUAUGGAUCAGGGCUUCAACAUUAGACCGAAAAGAACCCCAAUCCCCUCUCAGGAAGAAAUCAAUGAAUGCACUCCAACACCACUCCACAUCCCCCAUUCUGACCCCAAACCGCUCCCCACGAGCCCCCAAACCCCCCACGUACCCAUGCCACGUCAUGUCUCUGCACCCACAAGUCCCACCUGUACCUCACACCUCGCCUUCUCCUGUGAAGCACUCUGCUCCUGUAGGCUGUGGUCCACAUCCCCUUAUCCUCCCCAAAUCCACCCAUGUUCUGAUCUGUACUCCCCACGUACCCAUGCCACCCCACGUCCCCGCACCCACAAGUCCCACCUGUAACUCACACCUUGCCUCCUCCUGAGAAGCACUCUGCUCCUGUAGGCUGUGGUCCACAUCCCCUUAUCCUCCCCAAAUCCUCCCAUGU